UAUUCUAAUCUUCGAGUUACAGCUUUAUCACUAUCUGUUAUUGUCUGGUUGAUUUCUUAAUACUUAUUUUGCAUGUAUGAAUAUUUUGCCUGCAUGAAUGUAAGCUCUUCUCAUGUGUACCUGGUGUCACUGGAGGCCAGAAGAGGGCAUUGGAUCUCAUAGAACUGGAGUUACUGAUGGUUACAAACUACUAUUUGGGUUCUUGGAACCAAAUAUAGAGCUCCCAAGUACAUUAUCUUAUGAGCCAUUUCUCUACUCCUGUUUGGUUGACUUUUGAGGCAGAGUCUCCCUGAAUUGCCCAUGUUGACUUUGAACUCUCCAUCUCUCUUUCUCCUACUGAGCUGGCUGGCUCCAGGAAGCCUAGAUUAACUUUGUGCCUUUCUAUUUAGAAUUUGUUUUUAAAAUGACAGGACAUUUGUGUUGUUUACUAUUUCCACACUAUAGAGAAAAUAUCUAAUAUCCAAUGAUAGCUGAAUCAAACUUCCCUGGAUUUUUCAAAUAAUAGGUAGCAUAGACUGGUCAGGUAUCAUUAUGAUGUCAAAUUUCUUGUCUGAAUGGUACUUUAGAAAAAGCAUUGGUGGAACUCAGUUUGCAAUGUCUUUAUCCAACUUUGGAAACAGCUUCCCCAUCAUUAUGAGAAGAAGCAGAGAGAGGAUUGAAAUACAGAUUCAUGGACAUUAGUGGACAGAGGGCUGAGCUGUCUUGCCUUCUUGCCCUGGAGAUGGGUCUUUAGCGAUUCCACCUUUAUCUGCUCCUUCGGGAAACUGUGAUCUCAAUAGCAUAGCAGCACAUCUUGGAAGACAGGAGAGGGGCAUCCCCACCCCAUGUCAUGGAUGCAGAAACCAUGGACAUUCUGAACUCAUUCACCUCUCUACUUAGCUCAGCUUUGUCAAGAAACACAGAUGUGCUCCCUCACACCUGGCUUACGUGUUGCUAGAGGCGGACCCCAGAAUUUCAAGCAAGUCAGAUAAGUACCCUACCAACUGAGUCAUGUCUUCAUCCCACAAAUGGCUUUUACUUGAAAAAUCCACCUCACUGAGCAUAGUGAUGGCUGUUUACAGUCCUGGUACUUGGGGGUGGGGGGGCGGCAGUUGAAGAAGGAUGAUUGUGAGUACCAGAUCAAACUGGGAUAUUGCAAAACCUUAUUCCAAACCAAACCAAAACAAACCAAAACAAACACCUUAAAACCAAUCAUGUCUAGAACUUGACCAGAUGCAGAGCCUACAUUAUAGACUUUCAGAUAGGAGGUAAGUCCCUUAGACCUAGUCUUUCUAGUCUUUUCUCUAUCACCCCUUUACACACAGCUAAUUCCAUGAUUACAUCAUAUACUGUCAGGUCUGAAUUCGGGCCAUCAUGCAUGCCUUAAACAUCCUUCAACACAGAUCAGGGACAGAGGGCAAGAGAGCAGAAGAAAGGGCUCACACUCAGAGAGCACCACAGCAUAGAAAUGCCAAGAUGAAACCCAUUAAUUUGAACAAAUAAUGUGUCUUUAAAAAAUCACAAUACAAAGCCAAAACCAAAUCAAAGCCGGGAAGAAACAACCCAACUUUCUGUCUCUAUCAUAGUCAGGUGUAGUUCCUCUGGACUCUUACUUUCCACACUCUUUCUGGCUUUCUCCUUCUGGAACCCUUUUCAAGACACCCCUCAGACAGCAUAUCCUACAUUUCUCUAGUCAACUCUGCAUUCUCCAGUCGUGCUUCUCUCUGGUCUCUCUCUAUCCUAUAGCAUGGCCUCCCUCAGUUCUGUACUGCCUGGUCUAUGUGCCGUCAUGCUAGUUGCUGUUUCUGGUUUUCAGUUUCCCACCUCUGUAAGCCACAUUGUAUUCUCCCAUGGAGAACCGCUGGAAUCCCCCGAGGGAUGGAAACCAUGUUUGUCAUCAACUGCCAGGUAUCUAUAUUUGCAGUUCAAGGUCACUCUUUGCCAGGAGCAAGAUCAGAGGUAAAUCAUUCCAUUUACUGUUUGUCUUAAUGUUCCUUCUUGAUUUCUUAGAAAUAUUACUAGCGAUUCCUUAUUCAUAGUCUGAGCAGAAUGGAAAAAAAUAAAAUAAACUCAACAUUUUUAAUCUUUGUUGUUGUCAGCAGAAUUGCCUUUUUUUAAAAAGGUAUAAUAUGCUUAUAUUUUUUACACAUUUUUCACAUGGAUGUGGAUGUCAAUGGAGUUCAGAAGAGGGGAUCAGAUCUCUGGAGCUACCUGACUUGGAUGCUGGGAAUUGAACUCAGGUCCUGAAAGAACAGCAAACACUGUUAACUGCUGAGCUAUUUCUCCUGCCUGCAACUGCAUUUUUUAAGCUUCCUUAUUUAGUUUUGUGUUCAUUUGUUGGUUUACAGACUGGAUCUCACAUAGCCCAGGUUGAAUCUGAACUCACUCUGUAGUCAUGGAUGACCCUGAACUACUGUACCUCCUGUCUCUACUUCCCAAGUGCUGAGAUUAUAGACACACACCGUCACAUUUAGCUUAAACAAACACAUACACAAACAAAAAAGAAAACAAAUGAAACCAAAACAAAAGAACUACAUUCAUUCUGUUUUGGGGGGGUAGGGAGAAAAGGGUUUAUUUCAGCUUCCAUGUCCCAAUCAUAGGCCACCAUGAAAUGAAGUCAGGCACCUGGAGGUGGGAAGCAGAUCAUGGAGGAGCACUGCUUACCAGCGUGUCCUUCCUCAGCCUGUAUCACUUUCCCUCUCAUCCUUCAGACACUCCCAUGUACUCUGCCCUUUGUUCUCUUUCAAAUUCAUGGCCUCUUUUUCUUAAUUAUUGCUGUGCACAUGCGUGCCUGUGUGUGUGUGUGCGCGUGUGCUUUCCUAAAUAUAAAACAUGCCACCUGCUCAAUCUGUAUAGUUACUUGUAUGUAUGUUUAUAGGGCUGACCAUGUGGUAUUGAAUAACUCACAAGUGUACUAUUCCCUGGGGAAGACCAUUUCUCCUAAUCACCUGAAGUUCUUGGUCUAGGGCUGAAGCCUCUGAGCUUUCUUCCUCUUCUUUUUCUUUCUUUUAAAUUUAUUUAACUUUAUGUGCAUUGGUGUGAAGGUAUCAGAUCCACCAGAGUUUCAGAUAGUUGUGAGCUGCCAUGUGGGUGCCGGGAAUUGAACUUGGGUCCUCUGGACGAGCAGCCAGUGCUCAUAACCACUGAGCCAUCUCUCCAGCCCCAAACUUUCUUCUAUUGGUGUCACCCUUGCUCAGGUCAUGUUUAGGCAGCCAUGUUGGUAAGCAAAACUUUAUUCUUUACGGCACCAUGCUUCUAGGGUGUGCUAUUGAAUUUCUUUUGUUCUUGGCUACAUGUUCUCUCAGCUCCUAGGUAUGCUUUUAAAAGACUGAGCUCAAAGGAGAGUUCCCUAAGCAACCGUAUUGAUUUCUUUAGUUUUCCUUCCAUCUUUAAUAAUUUUUAUUGUAUCGUUAGAAUUUAAUUUUCUUCUCCUUCUGGGCCUCUCUGGAUUCUUUACAAAAGCAAAACAAAAACUCUCUGAACCUGGGACCAAACAUGUUUUCUUUGAACUUUCAAAAAUUUGUGUUUUUUUCCACACUGGGAUGCAUGGACAAUAAAGCUCAACACUUGUGUCCUCUUAUUUGAAUUUUAUGUCUCUCUUCCUUCUCCCAAGCUUAGCUCUUCUUUGUUCUACAGCUGUCCUCUCUUGAAUAUCAGAGUCAAGGUCACAAUAAAUGUGUCCAAGCUGGCAGGCUUCCUUUCCAUUUGUCCUAGUUGUCUGGUUUCGGGGAUCAUGGGGAAUCCCAAAUCCUAUAUGCUUAGCAAUGACCACACAGGGCUUUGCUCUGGUUGCACAGGAACUAGCCAGAGAUGCCAGGGGACCAAGUGACCUAAGGAGAGGUACUCACUCUCCUGACACUGGGCUGAAGGCUACAGGUCACUCUCAUCCCAGUGAUUGAUACCAGCAGCUUCUUGUGCCUGAAGGAUGGGAGACAUGCCUGAUGGAUUGGAGACAUGCCUGAAGGAUUGGAGACAUGCCUGAUGGACUGGAGGAGACAUAGGACCCAGACGGGAGAACUUGCCAACAAGGGAGAAGAAAACUCCUAUUUACCUCCCAAUCUCCGUUUUGAGUUCUGCUCUCUUAAGUGUUAGUGUCGUUGCAGGCUAGGAUGCCCUUUGCAAUACUCUUGGAAUGCGUGAGUAUGCCAGCCACUAAGCAUUUGCAGUUAGCCUCAGCUCCUGGCCAGUUAUUCAGUCAGUAGGAGGAGGAACUAACUAAAUACCAUACUCUACAGUAUCCUGUCAUCAAUAAGUUUCAUGGAGCAUUCAAUACUUUAAAAGAAGGUAUGUUAGGUAAUUUUGCACAACUGAAGGUUAAUCUAAGGUACUAGUGGCAGGGAGGUAAGCUGGGUUGAGCCAUGAUAGUAGAUGUGUCAUCAAUACAUUUUCAAUGUAUGGGAUUUUCAGUUUACAAUAGGUUACUGUAGGUCACGCAACGUCUGCACUUACAGUGUGAAGUGAGGUAAAACAAAACAGUCCAACAACAAUAAAACAAGGUUGUAACUUUGAACUUAAGGGAAUUAUCUAGACCUGAUUUCAUAUGAGACCUGCUCAUUAUGUACUCUGCCCCACAUUUGAGAAAGCAGGGAUUGGACACAGUGAAAUCAGGAAAUCUUUCUGUUCUAAUACUCUGGGGUGCAAAAAGAUCAAUAACUUGUUCAUACUUCUUCCUUAUAGAUCCCGAUUCUGUUUAGAUAUGAGAGAUCUACCACAGCCUGAGUACUUCAAGGGAGGCAGAUUCCUACAAGUCUGGCAGACUCUCCCUCCCAUCAAAUAUGGAUAACAAGCAUCAUGGUGAUGAGGACCAUUGUGACACUCCCGUGACUGAGGUGAAAUAAACCUUUUCCCUGAGCUAACGCUGACCCAGGAGUGAAAGAACUGAGACUUGUGUCAAUGUAUUGAGCUCAGCAUCCACUCUCUAUAAGCUUCCUGAUAUAUGAGCCAAUAAAUCUACGGCUUGAGCAA
Long non-coding RNA from Mesocricetus auratus (golden hamster), 4944 nucleotides. RefSeq lists it as uncharacterized. The record is from RefSeq and is a predicted model, not a curated record. Lineage: Eukaryota; Metazoa; Chordata; Mammalia; Rodentia; Cricetidae. The transcript has 4 exons.